UACAGAGGGUGCGAGCGUUAAUCGGAAUUACUGGGCGUAAAGGGCGUGUAGGCGGUUUAUUAAGUUAGAUGUGAAAGCCCCGGGCUUAACCUGGGAAAGGCAUAUAAUACUGAUAAACUAGAGCAGAGUAGAGGUGAGCAGAAUUUCCGGUGUAGCGGUGAAAUGCGUAGAUAUCGGAAAGAAUACCGGAGGCGAAGGCGGCUCACUGGGCUCAUACUGACGCUGAGGCGCGAAAGCGUGGGUAGCAAACAGG
Molecule: ribosomal RNA, 253 nt
Filed under: uncultured bacterium
Lineage: Bacteria
Description: partial 16S ribosomal RNA
Rfam family: Bacterial small subunit ribosomal RNA
Source: RNAcentral